CCUACGGGGGGCAGCAGUGGGGAAUAUUGCACAAUGGGGGAAACCCUGAUGCAGCGACGCCGCGUGAGUGAAGAAGUAUUUCGGUACGUAAAGCUCUAUCAGCAGGGAAGAAAAUGACGGUACCUGACUAAGAAGCCCCGGCUAACUACGUGCCAGCAGCCGCGGUAAUACGUAGGGGGCAAGCGUUAUCCGGAUUUACUGGGGGUAAAGGGAGCGUAGACGGCAGCGCAAGUCUGGAGUGAAAUCCCAUGGCUUAACCAUGGAACUGCUUUGGAAACUGUGCAGCUAGAGUGCAGGAGAGGUAAGCGGAAUUCCUAGUGUAGCGGUGAAAUGCGUAGAUAUUAGGAGGAACACCAGUGGCGAAGGCGGCUUACUGGACUGUAACUGACGUUGAGGCUCGAAAGCGUGGGGAGCAAACAGGAUUAGAUACCCCUGUAGUC
RNAcentral lists this ribosomal RNA (440 nucleotides) under uncultured bacterium. Its description in RNAcentral is "partial 16S ribosomal RNA". It matches the Rfam family "Bacterial small subunit ribosomal RNA", at positions 338 to 795 of the family's 1533-position model. The record is from RNAcentral.